Non-coding RNA from Aegilops tauschii subsp. strangulata, 2657 nucleotides. Lineage: Eukaryota; Viridiplantae; Streptophyta; Magnoliopsida; Poales; Poaceae. The record is from RefSeq and is a predicted model, not a curated record.
UUGUAGGAGAAGAAGAAGAAUAGGCAUGAUCUCUGUAUACAUCCAGUGUAUUUGGUUGGAUUACUUUCGUUCUCUGAGAAAUUUGAGAAGGGACACAGGAAGAGUAUUUCGUGGAGGGAUGUGUCCAACACUAUUGUAUGAAUUAAAUACACACUACCUGUUUGAUGAAAUGCAAGUAUAAUUCUCGUUAUACUUUGGUUUCACAAUCUUUCUGUUGUUUUUCUUCAUGUAGCAUCAUUUUUUAUUGCAGGCAUUGAUAUAUUUCUAUUUGUGCUCAUGCUAGGCAAUAUGAAGUCUUUAGUCUACACAUUAUCUGAUUUUUAGCUGCUCAUUAUCCCAUCAUUUUUUUAUUGCAGGCAUUGAAAAAUAAAAGAAAUAAGAGACCCACGGCCUGUACUUAAGGUCUAGGAUCUGCUAGGUUGGUGGAUCUGCGAGCUUGCGGUUCCUGUUGUUGAUCAACCGCUGCUUCGGUUCGGUGGAGGUUUAAUCAACCAAGUGAGUGCAGUUGCAAACCAGCUGUGCGGCUUAUAGGAGCACUUGCGCCAUCUUUGUAAUGGCAAACACCAUUCCCUUGAUUGUUGAUUAGUCAUCUUCUCCUCAUGAUAUGAUACUGGAAGGAUGUCAUGAUGGAACGGUUGCUUUAUGGAGGUCUCCACAAACUUGCCGUCAGAAGACAUUUUAAUGGCAUUGAAAAAUAAAAGAAAUAAGAGACCCACGGCCUGUACUUAAGGUCUAGGAUCUGCUAGGUUGGUGGAUCUGCGAGCUUGCGGUUCCUGUUGUUGAUCAACCGCUGCUUCGGUUCGGUGGAGUUACAUGAAGUAAUGAACAAAUGUGUGACGUGCCAUGCCUGCAAGAAAGAGCUUCUGUCAGUUGCUUCGGUCUGUGCCUGUUCCUUUAUGGCCAGUAGACUAAACUCUUUCGGCUCAUAGAUUCUUUGUGCUGGUUUAAUCAACCAAGUGAGUGCAGUUGCAAACCAGCUGUGCGGCUUAUAGGAGCACUUGCGCCAUCUUUGUAAUGGCAAACACCAUUCCCUUGAUUGUUGAUUAGUCAUCUUCUCCUCAUGAUAUGAUACUGGAAGGAUGUCAUGAUGGAACGGUUGCUUUAUGGAGGUCUCCACAAACUUGCCGUCAGAAGACAUUUUAAUGGUACUGUUGAAUCUGUUCCCACCAGAGCCCUCUCGUGGGCACGAUAAAUAUGUAAGUGAGGAAAACACAAACACCCUUGUCACUACUGGAGAGGAUGGCCUAAAAUUCUGGGAUUUAAGGUAUGUACAAGCUAUUUAAGAGGGCCAAGAAGGUGGAAUGGCUUCGCUUAUACAGUUUCUGACUGCUAACAGUGCCAUCAUCAAUGAGCUUCACUCUAAAGUCUGUUCAUGAGAGGGUUGGGCUUCCUUCAAUGCUAGGGCUGAAAUUGGAGAAUAAACAAGGGGUUGACAUGCCUGUGAAGUUCUAUUAGGUUUCAGGUUCCUUUUGUUGUGAGGUGCUCCAUGGCCCUUUGCUUGGUUGCUCUGUGGUGUGGCAACAGAGAUAAUAAGCAGUCUUGUAUACUAACCAAGAGAACAUCCAUUUCAUGAUUUUGGGUAUUGGGUUCUCUUUGCUAAACCAGCUGCAGCUAGAUGAGAGAAGUAGCAAGUAAUAUCAGGUGCAUAAUUUCUAUCAGUCUGUGUAUUCUAAUGACUACUGAUAUCCCCUUUCCUGUAGUGUGGCACUGAAUCAAUAGUCAUUUUUGCACAAUCAUGUGUCAUGUUCCUUUAUGAAUCAUAUAAUAUCAAGAGGCCACUUAUGAAACUGUUCAGAUUUUUAUGGCAGCCCUAACUUCGCUAGGUAAUAACUUUAUUUGGUCUUUAUCCAACUGGUUUUUAUCAUAUCAAAUUACUGCAGAGCGUACUGAUUUUUUUGUCACCUAGCAACGGUGCCUUUCAGUUCAACUAGCACUUUAAACCUCCGAAGGUUUAAGGUGAACAAUGAGAUAUUUUUGGGUUUGUUUGAACUGUUGUGUCUGUCCACUUGAGUGCCUCCAUAUGUGGUUCUCCUGUUGCAUUAGUUCUAUUUUUAUUUUUGAUCAUCUUGCCCAAAACUAAAGUUUCACUACAUGAAAAAUGACUACUUUAUUUUAUACCAUGUUAUCCUCUUUCUCUUCCCCACAGGACAGCGUCUCCCCGCGUUCUCGAUCCGGCGCCGCCACAUAUUGUGAUUCUGUAUCGGGCGCAUGUCGUCGCCAUAAGAGAGCCUGCUGGUGUGGUCUUCAUGCUUGGUGUGGAGAAGCACGGGAGGAUGAGUAGGACGGGCAUGGGGAAGGAGCAGCCAGGCCGGAGCUCCGGCGUUGCUCGCGUCAUGGUCGAAUGGAGCCGGCCAUCACUAUGGGUUGCUGCUCGCCGGUCGUUGUUCCACAAUUUUUUUACUGUUCUCUCAUCUCCUAUAUGGUGUCCAAGAAAUACUAAUGUAGACAAUUCAAAAUUUUAAAAUACCUUCUGGCCAAUUAUGUGGGGAAGGUGCAGCAAGCCGGCCCUCGCGUUGCAGUAGAGUGGAGCCGACAAUUUUAUGAUCGGUCUCUAAAUAUUUCAACUUGCACAGUUUGAAUUAGCUUCACAUGGUAUAUAGUUUGAACAUAGGUAUUCCUUAAUUUUUCAUAUAAAAGGUUUAGAAUUAUUACUCUUA